UAUGGUCACACCACCUUGAGCUCACUUGAUUGCAUCUGAUCUUGGAAACUAAGCAUGGUCAGGCUGGAUUAGUAUUCAGAUGGGAGAAGAGAAUUACUAAGUCCAGCCCACAC
This 113-nucleotide ribosomal RNA is filed under the name Prolemur simus (greater bamboo lemur). The record is from RNAcentral. Lineage: Eukaryota; Metazoa; Chordata; Mammalia; Primates; Lemuridae.